This 372-nucleotide ribosomal RNA is filed under the name Triticum aestivum (bread wheat). RNAcentral describes it as "partial small subunit ribosomal RNA". The record is from RNAcentral. Lineage: Eukaryota; Viridiplantae; Streptophyta; Magnoliopsida; Poales; Poaceae.
AUGGUGAAACAACAGAAGAUGCAGUCUUUUUUUAAAAGAAAAGGGGAUGAGGGAAUAGUUAAAUCUCCAUUAGCUCCAGAUGCUCUAACAUUGGUGCCAUAUAUGGAUGGAAGACAUGCUGAAGAUGCACAAGAAGGUCAAAUGGAAGAUGACAAUGUGCAGGAAAAUCAGAUGCAAGAUGAUGAUGUGCCGGAUGUAGAACAAAGAGCAAACGAACAUGUCACUUUUCGAGGCAUUGAGUUGUUGGAGCGAGAUCCUGCACUAUGUCCACAAAUUUGGCAGUACCCCCCAAACCAAAGAGAUGAAGUACGAAAAGCUUACUUGAGGCUGGGUCCCAAUCAACCUAAACAAAAGAAAUAUAAAGCUAUCUGA